GGAGGUUUUUGGAUGCGAAAAAUCUACCCCCGUGACACGUGGCACCGCACCUACUGGCUUUUGCCUCUCUGCCCUCUCUCCCCGCGUUGACCUAACAUCCUCAGUUUAGCCAAGGAGUUUGCUGUUUGGUUUGGGGUAUCCUUCAAGGUGCUCUAGAGUUUUGAAUCACUGCUUCUUCGAACAGUGAACAACUUCAGGUUCUGUUUCUAUAACUCUCUAGGUAUUUGUUGAGUUGAUUUUCCUUGCUAAAGGUUGGGCAAUGAUAUCGAGUUUUAGUGAUUGUGGGUAUUUGAUUUUGUGAAUUUAUUAAUUUCAUUCAAAUGGCAAACAAUAAAGCCAUUGUUUCUGAUGUGGUUCCACUUAUGACAAAAAUCAUGGAACAC
RNAcentral lists this unclassified non-coding RNA (383 nucleotides) under Hevea brasiliensis (rubber tree). The record is from RNAcentral. Lineage: Eukaryota; Viridiplantae; Streptophyta; Magnoliopsida; Malpighiales; Euphorbiaceae.